Megachile rotundata (alfalfa leafcutting bee) is the source of this 417-nucleotide long non-coding RNA. NCBI's taxonomy places the organism in Eukaryota, Metazoa, Arthropoda, Insecta, Hymenoptera, Megachilidae. The record is from RefSeq and is a predicted model, not a curated record.
AUGAUAUACAGGGUUUGUCCAAUAAGUAUCCGGACUGAUUUUUUUCUGCUAGUUUGGUAGAUCAGGGAGCAAUCUCUAUUAGCUAGAUCGAUGCGGAAAGUUGUUAUGUAUAAUAAAAAUCUAGGUUCAUUUGUUUUCCACCAUUUGUUUCGUUUAUAUCGUGCUUGAAGUGGAAGCGUAUUUAACGUUCGCGUCGAGAAUCAAAAUGCAACGAAACAUCGAGCAGCGUUGUGCGAUUAAAUUUUGCGUUAAGCUAAAUAAAUCUGCUACGGAGACAUUUAAUAUGAUUCGUCAGGCCUACAAGGAUGAUUCCAUGUCCAGAACGAGUGUUUUUGAGUGGCACAAAAAUUUCAAAGAUGGCCGUGAAGACGUUGAAGACGAGCAACGCGUUGGACGACCGUCGUCGUCCCGAUCCGA